This 973-nucleotide long non-coding RNA is filed under the name Chinchilla lanigera (long-tailed chinchilla). Its description in RNAcentral is "lncRNA (ENSCLAG00000026637.1)". Lineage: Eukaryota; Metazoa; Chordata; Mammalia; Rodentia; Chinchillidae. The record is from RNAcentral.
GGCCCGGGGGCGCGGGGCGCGGGCGCGGGCGCGGGGGGCGCUUCCCCAAUCCCGCCGCCCCGAGUCUUCCCGAACCUUCCACCUCACCUCCCCAAGUCCCGGCUGCGGGGCACGGGAGGGGAGGAGGGAGGCCCGGCGCCCGGGGAGCAGUUCCCCCACUCCCACCGUGGGGGAGCGAGGCUUGGGGAGGGGCCCCGCAGGCACCCAGCGCGGGUCCCCCCCACGCGCAGGGGCUGGGAGCCGCCGGGUGUCAGGCAGCUGUCGGCAGCGGAGGGGCGGUAACAGGGCCACACCCCGUGCGUCGGGGGACAGCCGCGGGCUGGGGUUAGGGAAGGACGGGAGGAGGUCGCCGAGGGGUUAAGGCUGCGCGGUGGAGUCCUUGUCCACCCUGCGAAGUUUCCGGCUCCACCUGUCACCCCCGCUCAGCCGGCUUCUGCCAACUUGAAGGCGUAACCAACCCCUCCCCAAGACCUCAGCCCGCAAGUGUCAGGGUCCGACUCAGCACUGGUCUUUAUCCCCAAGCCCAAGGAACUAACUCCAUCCCACUGCUGCAUGCAGCAGGUGCGCCACCAUUCCUAACGCUUCUGAACAGUCCCCUCAUGAGGCCUCUUUUGCAAAGACCUUGGUGGGCCUCUCUCCUGCUGAAACCCCUGCAGGACCGGCACGCCCUGGACUCUCAGCAGUGCCGAGCGCAGCCUCAAGGGGGUGCCGCCGCGCCGCCCCGCACUGCCGGCCGGUCGUUCCCUUCCAGGCCGGGCGGGGCUGCCCCCGGCCUGCGUUUUCAGGACCCACGGCGCACGGCCCGCGAAGAGGCGGAGCUGGAGCUGAAUCAAGGAUGUUCCUUGGCGUCACGGUGAUAAUUAAUAAUAACAAUAAUAGUAACAGCGUCAGACCUACCAGUUUGGUUUAUUUUGUAUUUAUUUGUAUUUAUUUGUUUGUUUGUUUGUUUUUUGCCUUUUUGAGACAGGGUUAC